This 898-nucleotide ribosomal RNA is filed under the name uncultured Staphylococcus sp. Its description in RNAcentral is "bacterial SSU rRNA". It matches the Rfam family "Bacterial small subunit ribosomal RNA", at positions 64 to 942 of the family's 1533-position model. The record is from RNAcentral. Lineage: Bacteria; Bacillati; Bacillota; Bacilli; Caryophanales; Staphylococcaceae.
GAGGGAACAGACGAGGAGCUUGCUCCUCUGACGUCAGCGGCGGACGGGUGAGUAACACGUGGAUAACCUACCUAUAAGACUGGGAUAACUUCGGGAAACCGGAGCUAAUACCGGAUAAUAUAUUGAACCGCAUGGUUCAAUAGUGAAAGACGGUUUUGCUGUCACUUAUAGAUGGAUCCGCGCCGCAUUAGCUAGUUGGUAAGGUAACAGCUUACCAAGGCAACGAUGCGUAGCCGACCUGAGAGGGUGAUCGGCCACACUGGAACUGAGACACGGUCCAGACUCCUACGGGAGGCAGCAGUAGGGAAUCUUCCGCAAUGGGCGAAAGCCUGACGGAGCAACGCCGCGUGAGUGAUGAAGGUCUUCGGAUCGUAAAACUCUGUUAUUAGGGAAGAACAAAUGUGUAAGUAACUAUGCACGUCUUGACGGUACCUAAUCAGAAAGCCACGGCUAACUACGUGCCAGCAGCCGCGGUAAUACGUAGGUGGCAAGCGUUAUCCGGAAUUAUUGGGCGUAAAGCGCGCGUAGGCGGUUUUUUAAGUCUGAUGUGAAAGCCCACGGCUCAACCGUGGAGGGUCAUUGGAAACUGGAAAACUUGAGUGCAGAAGAGGAAAGUGGAAUUCCAUGUGUAGCGGUGAAAUGCGCAGAGAUAUGGAGGAACACCAGUGGCGAAGGCGACUUUCUGGUCUGUAACUGACGCUGAUGUGCGAAAGCGUGGGGAUCAAACGGGAUUAGAUACCCUGGUGGUCCACGCCGUAAACGAUGAGUGCUAAGUGUUUAUGGGGUUUCCGCCCCUUAGUGCUGCAGCUAACGCAUUAAGCACUCCGCCUGGGGAGUACGACCGCAAGGUUGAAACUCAAAGGAAUUGACAGGGACCCGCACAAGCGGUGGAGCAUGU